This 467-nucleotide ribosomal RNA is filed under the name uncultured bacterium. RNAcentral's name for it is "partial 16S ribosomal RNA". It matches the Rfam family "Bacterial small subunit ribosomal RNA", at positions 28 to 506 of the family's 1533-position model. The record is from RNAcentral.
GACGAACGCUGGCGGCGUGCUUAACACAUGCAAGUCGAACGGAAAGGCCCUGCUUUUGUGGGGUGCUCGAGUGGCGAACGGGUGAGUAACACGUGAGUAACCUGCCCUUGACUUUGGGAUAACUUCAGGAAACUGGGGCUAAUACCGGAUAGGAGCUCCUGCUGCAUGGUGGGGGUUGGAAAGUUUCGGCGGUUGGGGAUGGACUCGCGGCUUAUCAGCUUGUUGGUGGGGUAGUGGCUUACCAAGGCUUUGACGGGUAGCCGGCCUGAGAGGGUGACCGGCCACAUGGGGACGGAGAUACGGCCCAGACUCCUACGGGAGGCAGCAGUGGGGAAUAUUGCACAAUGGGCGGAAGCCUGAUGCAGCAACGCCGCGUGCGGGAUGACGGCCUUCGGGUUGUAAACCGCUUUCGCCUGUGACGAAGCGUGAGUGACGGUAAUGGGGAAAGAAGCACCGGCUAACUACGU